RNAcentral lists this non-coding RNA (783 nucleotides) under Helina latitarsis. The record is from RNAcentral. Lineage: Eukaryota; Metazoa; Arthropoda; Insecta; Diptera; Muscidae.
AUAAAGUUUUAUUUUAGCUUUAAAAUUUAUUAUUAAUUUAAUUUAUAUGUAAAUUUUUGUAAGAAUUUUUAUUUAUUUUAAUAGUAUAUAAAUAAUAGUAUUCGCAGUAAUUAAUAUUAUUUAUUAAAGAAAUUUAGAAAUAGUAAUAUUAAAAAGUAUUGACUUAAUUUGUGCCAGCAGUCGCGGUUAUACAAAUAAUACAAGUAAUUUUUUUUUAAUUAAAGUUAAAUUAAAAUUUUAUUAAAAUAAAAUUAAUUUAUUAAGUGAAAUUUUAAAUUUUUAUUUUUUAUGAUUAAAUUAAUUGAAGCUUAUAAAAUUUAGUUUAAAACUAGGAUUAGAUACCCUAUUAUUAAAAAUGUAUUAAAAAUUAAGGUAGUAAUAGUUAUGUUCUUGAAACUUAAAAAAUUUGGCGGUAUUUUAGUCUAUUCAGAGGAACUUGUUUUAUAAUCGAUAAUCCUCGAUGGACCUUACUUAAAUUAGUUUUCAGUUUAUAUACCGUCGUUAUUAGAGAAUUUUAUUAGAAUAUAAAUUUUCAUAAACUUUAUUAAAAGAGAAUAUCAGAUCAAGGUGUAGCUAAUGUUUAAGUAAAAAUGAGUUACAAUAAAAUUAUUUAAACGAAUAUAAAUUUGAAAUAUUUAUUAAAGGUGGAUUUGAUAGUAAAAUUAUAAAGAUAAUUAAUUUGAUUUUAGCUCUAAAAUAUGUACAUAUCGCCCGUCACUCUUAUUAUUAAGGUAAGAUAAGUCGUAACAUAGUAGAUGUACUGGAAAGUGUAUCUAGAAUACA